RNAcentral lists this transfer RNA (91 nucleotides) under Candidatus Cloacimonetes bacterium HGW-Cloacimonetes-2. RNAcentral describes it as "tRNA-Ser". It matches the Rfam family "tRNA". Rfam says of the family: Transfer RNA (tRNA) molecules are approximately 80 nucleotides in length. The record is from RNAcentral. Lineage: Bacteria; Pseudomonadati; Candidatus Cloacimonadota.
GGAGAUGUGUCCGAGUUGGCUUAAGGAGCACGAUUGGAAAUCGUGUAUACGUGAAAGCGUAUCUAGGGUUCGAAUCCCUACAUCUCCGCCA